UACGUAGGGUGCAAGCGUUGUCCGGAAUUAUUGGGCGUAAAGGGCUCGUAGGCGGUUCGUCACGUCGGGAGUGAAAACUCGGAGCUUAACUCCGAGCCUGCUUCCGAUACGGGCAGACUAGAGGUAGGCAGGGGAGAGCGGAACUCAUGGUGUAGCGGUGGAAUGCGCAGAUAUCAGGAAGAACACCGGUGGCGAAGGCGGCUCUCUGGGCCUUACCUGACGCUGAGGAGCGAAAGCGUGGGUAGCGAACAGG
This 253-nucleotide ribosomal RNA is filed under the name uncultured bacterium. Its description in RNAcentral is "partial 16S ribosomal RNA". It matches the Rfam family "Bacterial small subunit ribosomal RNA", at positions 524 to 776 of the family's 1533-position model. The record is from RNAcentral.